AGGAAGUGACUGUAGGUUUAGAUGAAUGGAAAAUGAACUUGCCAGUUCACAGCUAUGUCCUUCCCAAUUUAGGAGGUUAAGGGCAGGAAAAACAUGAGAAACUCUUUUGAGAAGCUGCACAAGCUGACAUGGAGGAUCAAGGAUUUCAAAAGCUUUGAAUAUAAAGAGGUGUCAGACUUACAUCAGAGCCUGAGACUUGACAUGCCUAUUUUUGCACUCGCUCAUUUUUCAAAUUUCAUAGGCAUUGCUCCCUCCAAAUCACCGCUCUUCUAAUUUUAUCCUGGAGUGUGCAUCCCAGAAGACAUAAGCUGACACAAUUGGGAACUGAAGUUGCUUGAAAAAGCUGGUGGUAAGAUUAGGUAAAAUAAUUGUGUUACCACCUUCUGAAUGGCAAUCAAUAUUGCAUCCUAAGUAGCAUGUUUGGUUGGGUGCAGAUAGUUUUUGAAACUAGGUGGUGACCCAACUUACAAAUAUGUCACCAGUGGUGACCUAGGAAAACAGACUGAUAUAAGGGAAAGCUCUUCUCAGUGAGAUGAUUUAGACAUUUGAAAGGGCAAGGGCAAUGAAUGGGGUAUGCAUGUUAGGAUAAUGAAAUUAACUUCUAAAGCCUAAGGUGUAUUGAGAUACCACAAAGAAAUGAUAAAAAAAAAAAAAA
Homo sapiens (human) is the source of this 655-nucleotide long non-coding RNA. Ensembl annotates it as long intergenic non-protein coding RNA 1684. NCBI's taxonomy places the organism in Eukaryota, Metazoa, Chordata, Mammalia, Primates, Hominidae. The record is from Ensembl.